CACGUAGGGCGCAAGCGUUGUCCGGAAUUAUUGGGCGUAAAGGGCUCGUAGGCGGUUUGUCGCGUCUGCUGUGAAAACCUAAGGCUCAACCUUGGGCUUGCAGUGGGUACGGGCAGACUAGAGUGCGGUAGGGGUGACUGGAAUUCCUGGUGUAGCGGUGGAAUGCGCAGAUAUCAGGAGGAACACCGAUGGCGAAGGCAGAUCUCUGGGCCGUAACUGACGCUGGAGGAGCGAAAAGCAUGGGGGAGCAAAACAGG
RNAcentral lists this ribosomal RNA (257 nucleotides) under uncultured bacterium. Its description in RNAcentral is "partial 16S ribosomal RNA". It matches the Rfam family "Bacterial small subunit ribosomal RNA", at positions 524 to 776 of the family's 1533-position model. The record is from RNAcentral.